This 2602-nucleotide long non-coding RNA is filed under the name Homo sapiens (human). Its description in RNAcentral is "HSALNT0131382". The record is from RNAcentral. Lineage: Eukaryota; Metazoa; Chordata; Mammalia; Primates; Hominidae.
GGGAGAGCUGAUCUGUACAGGGGGCAGCCAGUGAGCAGGAAAUGCCCCAGCACCGACAGGAAGGAGGGCCGCCUUCUGACACAGGGCGGGCUGGAGACAUCCCAGGUGACAGUGAUGAUGACGGGGUAGCUACCACUUACUGAAGGCCUCCCGCAUGCCAUGCACUGAACUGUGGCUCACCCACAUGCUCUCAUUUAACCUCAGCCAGCAGCCUGUGUCACCACUGCCCCCGUUUCACAGACGAGGAAACCAAGGCCAACUGCGGUCAAUUCACGCAGCCAAGAUUACACAACCAGGAAGUAGCCAGGCUGAGCCUCGAACCCAGAUCUGUUCGAUUCCAAAGAUCAUGACCUUCGCCGCCAUGCUCUGCUGGUUCAGCAGGUGCUCAUUAUGACGUCAAUUAUACUUUAUUUAUGAAUUCAUUUAGUUUUUAGUUUUUAUGUUCCUUGAAAACAUGUGAAUGUGGUUCACAUAGAAACCUCCACGGCAAUGUUCAUAAGCUCCAGGGUGGAUUUGUGUCAUGUCAACCCCUACCCUCACAGCAGCCCUGCCAUCAGCAGGACCAGGCCAGAGGGCCACAAGGGAAGGCAGCUCCAACUCCCACCUACUUCCCUCUGGGCCUGAAAUGAAGCCCUGACCUCUGCACAGUCACUGUGGCCCUUUUGUGCCAUUGCUCUGAUUGUCAGAGCCAUUCUCUGCACCCAGCACACCGGCAGAAGCGUCAGGUUCCAACACGAUCCCACUUCCUUGUUUGACUUCCAGCCCGGGGCUGCUGUGGCCCGCUCCCACGGGAGCCUCACCGUGACCUCGCAGUGGUUUCAUAAGUUUUAAUGAGUAAAUUCCAGACUUAGCCCCAUGCACACAUAAGACACCCACGGCACACACCCACGGAAACAGCGUGACUUGGGUGGCUGUGGGUUUGCUCCGAGAGGAGACCCAGGUAGGCCCAGGCAGUGUGGCGGGGCCCUGGGAUGGCAAACGCCAGGACACCAGGGGAGACCAGCGCUUGGCAAAAUGCAUGGCAUAACUUGGGCAAGACAGCAUUGCAACAAAUGAUUGUGUGGAAGAAAAGACAGCGCCCUUAACCCCAUGAAACAGAGUUAACUGGGAGGUUUGGAAAGUAUCUUUAGGAGCCACUCAGCCGAGCUGUCCCUGGUCUGCAAUCCACAGAGAGAAACAAGGGGCUACGGCUGCAAAGAUGCUGAUGAACGAGGGGAGAGGCGAGGAUGCCACUGCGGGACCGCGGCACCCAGGCCUGGGAAACACAGGUGCCAUUGGAUUCCCUGGGAAGCCAGAGGGUGACAGCUUGUUGCCAGCCGAACGAAGAGAAAAACAGACAAAGAUCAAGGAAGAGGAGGGGGCUCCCAUGGAGGGGCUGGGAGGCCACCCUACUGACUCCCAACCCUACUGAUGAAACUGAGACCCACAAAGGGGAAAGGGCGGCCCAAGUCCCCAGCCACACCCUGCCGAGCUGGGGCAAGCAGGACGCUGUACCUGUAGCUCUCUGCAGCCACCCUGUCACAGAUGACACGUGUAAUCCUUUCACAUGUCAAACUUCGCCAGGUUUUUCCCUCCACAAAUCAUCCCCAUGGAGAGAGAUUCUCUCCCAGCACCAUGGGAGACGGUGAGGACCCCAAGCAUAAAUGAGCGCAUCCCAGAACACCCAGCGUGCAGGGGAACAGGGGGCGACAGAGAACGCCCGGUGGGCAGAGAUCCUCACCAGCUCCUGACAUAGCCUUCGGGGGCUCCUAGGCUUUCCCAAAGAGCUUGGUCUUGGUGCUGUUUGGUCUCAGCCACACAGCAUCACGUCUGUGAGUGAUGAUGAGUCACGCACAGGCUCAGCCCUGGUGGGGCAAGAGAAGAGGAGGCGAGAGGUGACGGCUGUACGAUGUGGUCCCUACCCUCCAUCCCCUGAAAGAGAAGAGGAACCAGAGUCUGGGCUGCUGCAAUGAGCCCAGCUGGUCAGUGAGUACCUGGGGAAAGACAACAGGGGCAGCGCCCUGCAGAGGCCGGGGCACGGCAAGCGGCCAAGACAGGGCCUGUUGGAUUUUUGAAGCCAACCAGAUAGAAGAAGGAAGGAAGAGCGUGGUGUCAAGGUUCACUCCCAGCUUAAUGCGUUCAGCUUGGCAGACGGAAAUGAUCCAAACCGAGAGGGAGUCUGUAGAAGGCUGUGGGGAUGCAGGAGGCUGAGCCUCGCUCUGGGUUGAUGUCCAGACCCAUGCAGGACAUCCAGGCAUGGAUGGGUCUGGUGGUGUUUGUGCGUAGGACCUGGUGCCCAGGAGAGAGGCCAGCCAGGCCUGUGGAGUUGGCUGUUACAGACAGAGGGGCGUAGAGUCGUGGCUGGGAGCCCAUCUACUGAGAGCAAGUUGGGGUGAGCAGUGAGGCGACCCAGGGACCCUGACACCUACUGAGGAGGAGGCAAGAAGAGACAAGGAGUCGAAGCUCACGUGGGGUGUUGAUGCCACAGCGCAGGCCAGGCCAGCAAACUCCAGGCCUCAAGGGCCUGAGAACAGCCCCGCUUUGAGAAGCCCUGCACUGUGAAUGAGAAACUGGCGGGCGGCUCCACACCAAUGCGAUUGAGGAGCAGAAACACGCGCAAACA